GUCCACGCCCUAAACGAUGUCAACUGGUUGUUGGGUCUUCACUGACUCAGUAACGAAGCUAACGCGUGAAGUUGACCGCCUGGGGAGUACGCCGCAAGGUUGAACUCAAGGAAUUGACGGGGACCCGCACAAGCGGUGGAUGAUGUGGUUUAAUUCGAUGCAACGCGAAAACCUUAACCUACCCUUGACAUGUCUGGAAUCUUUUAGUAGAUAGAAGAGUGCCCGAAAGGGAGCCAGAACACAGGUGCUGCAUGGCUGUCGU
This 262-nucleotide ribosomal RNA is filed under the name uncultured bacterium. RNAcentral describes it as "partial 16S ribosomal RNA". It matches the Rfam family "Bacterial small subunit ribosomal RNA", at positions 793 to 1055 of the family's 1533-position model. The record is from RNAcentral.